AAAUGGGGAGAAAAGGGAAUGAUGCUCUCUUUUGCUGCCUUGUCUCCGCAUGCCGGAGCUUCAUCCCAGAGAAACACCUGCUCCCUCUGAAGGAGGUUGCCCGAAUUAUAAAUGAGCCUUCAACAUAGAAAGAUGUGCUCAAGUGAGGAGAAAGAGAAAAACAGCCAAGCCACUUGGAGGCUGAAGUCCUGGGAAUACUGUCCAGGGUCACCUAGAUCUUCGCCCCACCCUUCUACCCAGGUUAUCCCAGAAGCCCCAAGAGACCUGACUCUGCAGAUGAAGCUAGACACAGCUCUGAAGAUGCUGCAGGAAGCGCAGAAUCCUUUGUGAAAGAGUUUGAAAACCUGCAUGCUACUUGGCAAAUUUAUUAGCGUUAGCAGUUAUUCAGGGCCACCCAGGAGGCAUAUGCCCAGCUAUAACCCUGGACAAAGAGAAGGUUUCCAAUAGGAAAAAAAGAAACUCUCUCCAGCCUCACUGAAGGCCUUAGGAUUUGGAAAAAUCUCUUCUCAGACAAGGAGAAGAACCCUGGACUUGAGGACCUUCUUGCCACUGAAUUCACAUAGCCAAUGGCUUGCCUGCAUCUCCACAAAGAUGUUUAACAGGCAUCUCAAACCUAACAGAGCUCUUGGGCUUCCUUGGUGGUCCAGUGGUUAAGAAUCCACCUGCCAAUGCAGGGGACACAGGUUUAGGUUCCUGGUUGGGGAAGAUAGCAUGCCACAGGGCAACUAAACCCUGCGUCACAGCUACUAAGCCGAUGCUCUGGAGUCCAUGAGCUGCAACUACUGAAGCCCACAUGCUCUAGAGCCCACAACAAAAGAAGCUAUGGCAAUGAAAAGCCUGAACACCGCAACUACAGAAAGCCCAUAGUCAGCAAGGAAGACUCAGUGCAGCCAAAUAAUAAUUUUUUAGAAAACUAGCAGAACUCUUG
Dama dama (fallow deer) is the source of this 928-nucleotide long non-coding RNA. RefSeq lists it as uncharacterized. NCBI's taxonomy places the organism in Eukaryota, Metazoa, Chordata, Mammalia, Artiodactyla, Cervidae. The record is from RefSeq and is a predicted model, not a curated record. The transcript is spliced from 3 exons.